Molecule: ribosomal RNA, 530 nt
Filed under: Peltophryne gundlachi (Cuban high-crested toad)
Lineage: Eukaryota; Metazoa; Chordata; Amphibia; Anura; Bufonidae
Description: partial 16S ribosomal RNA
Rfam family: Bacterial large subunit ribosomal RNA
Source: RNAcentral
CGCCUCUUGAAUUAAUAUAAGAGGUCCAGCCUGCCCAGUGACCCUGUUCAACGGCCGCGGUAUCCUAACCGUGCGAAGGUAGCGUAAUCACUUGUUCUUUAAAUGAGGACUAGUAUGAACGGCAUCACGAAGGUUAUACUGUCUCCUUUUUCUAAUCAGUGAACCUAAUCUCCCCGUGAAGAAGCGGGGAUAAAAUUAUAAGACGAGAAGACCCUAUGGAGCUUAAAACAAUACAGCACCUGCUAAAAAUUUAACAAAUUUCAGAAUUUUCCAUUUUCUAAGCACCAUGACUGUAAGUUUUUGGUUGGGGUGACCACGGAGCACAAAAUAACCUCCAUGUUGAAAGAAUUUUAUUCUAAGCCAAAAAUUACAAUUUUAAGCAUCAAUAAAUUGACAUCUAUUGACCCAAUAUACUUGAACAACGAACCAAGUUACCCUAGGGAUAACAGCGCAAUCCACUUCAAGAGCUCCUAUCGACAAGUGGGUUUACGACCUCGAUGUUGGAUCAGGGUUUCCAGUGGUGCAGCCGC